AUUAAGUGGCCUGUGGUCUGAGGCAGGUGCAACGUGAGAAAUCCAGAGAAUCAUGAGGGGGUAGGGCAGGCUUAGAAAAGGGAGAAUCUGCUGCCAGAGAGGCCAGAUGCCAUGAGUCCAAAGGAAUCAUCCCGCCCCCAGCAGACAAGCGUGGAGCCAGCCUGCUCCUCUGGCCAAAGCAUUCCACCCCCGGACCUCUCCUCCAGGAAGAAGAGAUGUGGAAGAAGAGAUGUGGGUAUGGUGGAUUCUGACCCUUGGCUCCCCAAAGUUCCACAGAGCCCAGCUCCCACUGAAGGCAUAUGACCCAGAUCCUGAGAACCAGAUGCACCGGCCUGAGCUUUCGUCAGAAGCAAGGACACACAGAACCUUUCUUAGAGGCAUCAUUAGAGGACCGGACAUGGUGGCCAGAGGCUGCAGGGACAGAAGUCCCAGGGCCAUGUCCAGGAACUGGGCUCAGGGGACCUCCUGGUGCCACCUGCAUAUCUGAGCCCAUGGAGUUCCUCUGGUCUAUUCAGUUCUCUCAUUUUAACUUAAUUUUGUUUUUGUAGGCUUUCUUAAAAAAUUGCCCAGUUCAUUUACCUGAUCACGUUUAUUGUUCAGAGUUGAGUGUGGUUCUCUCGUAAUUAUUUAGUCUCCACUGGGUCUGUGAUUAUAUUUCCUUUCUUAUUGCUAAUGCUGUUUGUGUUUGAUUUUCUUCUUUUUUUUCUUGGCCUGACUUAAAGAGGUUUGUCUGUUUUAUCUUUAUUUUAAAAAUAACCAACUGUUUAUUUUUACUUCUCCACUGUGAUUUCCCCCUUUAUUUCUUUAAUGUUUGAGUUUAUAUUUUUUCCUAUUUAUUUUGGCUUAAAUUUUAUUAUCAUUUUGCUAUAUCCUUGUGUCAAGCGCUUAAUUCAAUUAUUUUGUUAUUUUGACUUCUAAAAAAUCAGUUAAUUCUAUAAGUUUUCCUCUAUGUACUACAUUGAGCAAACUCCACAGAUUUCUGUAGGGGGCAUACUAAUUGUAAUUCAAUUUCGUUUUCCAUGUGUAGGUCCAGAUUUAUUUGAAUGUCCAAAUACUUAGAAUUGUAGGCUCUUGUUUUGUUAUUAAAGUCUGGUUUUAUUACAUUGUGUUUAGAGAAAAUAAUAUGGAGGAUUUUAAUUUUAGAUAAAGCAUUAAUAUCUUUUUUAUCCUCAAACAUGAUCAAUUUUUGACAGUGUUCCAAAAAUAUACUAUGAAAUAUAUAUUAUCUGUUGGAAUAGAGUAAUAUAUGUACAC
Molecule: long non-coding RNA, 1254 nt
Filed under: Homo sapiens (human)
Lineage: Eukaryota; Metazoa; Chordata; Mammalia; Primates; Hominidae
Description: long intergenic non-protein coding RNA 840
Source: RNAcentral